Molecule: long non-coding RNA, 323 nt
Organism: Catharus ustulatus (Swainson's thrush)
Lineage: Eukaryota; Metazoa; Chordata; Aves; Passeriformes; Turdidae
Exons: 3
Source: RefSeq, a predicted model, not a curated record
GAGAAAUGCAAGAUGUUUCAGAUUUGCAGCUGAGAUUUCCUACAGGAAUGCAAUGAGCUGGACCUGAAGGGAUACUUGCUCCUCCAUCACGUUUCCAGCAGUUUCUGGAUGACAGAUAAGCAGUGCUGAGGAUUCCCUGCCAAGUACACCUGACAAGUAUGAAAAGAGCACAGAAGGUAUCUUCGAGCAGCCUGAAAACUGUUUCUAGUUAAAUAUGGUGGAACCACAUAUUUUAUUUGGAACAGUGAUCAUAGAUGUGGACAAUCCCCAAAAAGCAACAAUAUUGAAUCAGCAUAAGAGAAUGGUGUCCUUCUUCUGCAUCC